Molecule: ribosomal RNA, 700 nt
Filed under: uncultured bacterium
Lineage: Bacteria
Description: bacterial SSU rRNA
Rfam family: Bacterial small subunit ribosomal RNA
Source: RNAcentral
UCAGGCCUAACACAUGCAAGUCGAGCGGAAACGAUCCUAGCUUGCUAGGAGGCGUCGAGCGGCGGACGGGUGAGUAACGCGUGGGAAUCUACCGAGUAGUGGGGGACAACUUAGGGAAACUUAAGCUAAUACCGCAUACGCCCUACGGGGGAAAGAGGGGGAUCUUCGGACCUCUUGCUAUUCGAUGAGCCCGCGUCAGAUUAGCUAGUUGGUGGGGUAAAGGCCUACCAAGGCGACGAUCUGUAGCUGGUCUGAGAGGAUGAUCAGCCACACUGGGACUGAGACACGGCCCAGACUCCUACGGGAGGCAGCAGUGGGGAAUAUUGGACAAUGGGGGCAACCCUGAUCCAGCCAUGCCGCGUGUGUGAAGAAGGCCUUCGGGUUGUAAAGCACUUUCAGUUGUGAGGAAGGGGAGUAGGUUAAUAACCUGCUUCAUUGACGUUAACAACAGAAGAAGCACCGGCUAACUUCGUGCCAGCAGCCGCGGUAAUACGAGGGGUGCAAGCGUUAAUCGGAAUUACUGGGCGUAAAGCGCGCGUAGGCGGUUAUUUAAGCCAGAUGUGAAAUCCCCGGGCUCAACCUGGGAUCUGCAUUUGGAACUGGGUAACUAGAAUGCAGCAGAGGAUAGUGGAAUUUCACGUGUAGCGGUGAAAUGCGUAGAGAUCUGAAGGAACAUCAGUGGCGAAAGCGACUGUCUGGG